GGAUACUUAUUAUAGAAUGCUGGUUGUUAUGGUGAUGAGAGAUGGGGGAAACCAGGCCGAUUGUACACUGUGAAUGAAGGUUUAAUCUAUGUCAUCCUUUGUCACAGGUCAUCCUGUUGCCUGGGAUGAAGUGUCACAUAGUUUGAAUCCACAUUGCUUGCUGACUUCAUGGGGUGAAUGAACUUUUCCAAGAUUCUGGAAGCCUAUUGUAAUUUGUGUUCUCUACAUUUUCCUGAGGUCCCAGGGAUGCCGUGACUACUAAGCUCUAUGGUAGGAGUUGGGGCAGGAGGAAACAACUUUAGAAGACACCUGUGUGUCCCUCCCUGCUUGCAUCUAGCUUCUUCGUCUGCCCAGGUGGACUGCUCUUACCGUUGCAAAUCUGGGAGCACUCAGUUGUGGAACCCAGCCACCAUGUUGUGAAGAAGCCCUGUGCAGUGGUCCAAGUGACCAGGAGUCAAAGCUCCCAGCCAAUAGCCAGCACUAACUUGUCAGCAGUGUCAUGGAGCCCACUUGAAAGAGGAUUCUAAUUAUGCUGCCCAAGCUGUGGCCACAUGGAGGAGAGAUAUACAGUCCCUGCUGAACCCUGCUCUAAUUACAGGGAGACUUGAAAACCAGUGGUGGCGAGACUCCAAGACUAUUAUUUUUAUUUCCGGACAAAAACAUCUGCUUCACACAGUGCACGGCAUCAAAUGAAGAGGAAAGAACUUGUAUCCCAAAGCCUGGCUUUCUGUAUCAUCCACAAAUUAAGACAGCAUCUGCUGAGCCCAUGCUGAGCCUGUCACAGUCAACAACUGGGAAACCGGGGCCUCUACUGAACCAGGGGACAAGUAGCCGAAGCACUUAAACAGCUUGAUACUUGUUUUUUGGUACAUUUGUUUAUUUAAAGCACAGGAAAUGAAUAAAAUGCCACCUAAAAAGUA
This 920-nucleotide long non-coding RNA is filed under the name Homo sapiens (human). RNAcentral describes it as "HSALNT0311559". Lineage: Eukaryota; Metazoa; Chordata; Mammalia; Primates; Hominidae. The record is from RNAcentral.